This is a long non-coding RNA of Melospiza melodia melodia, 425 nucleotides long. RefSeq lists it as uncharacterized. Lineage: Eukaryota; Metazoa; Chordata; Aves; Passeriformes; Passerellidae. The record is from RefSeq and is a predicted model, not a curated record. The transcript is spliced from 5 exons.
GCGGGCCCGGCGCGGCGCGCGCGGCGGCUGCAGGGGGACGUGAGGCCCGUGAGGUCGAUGCCACGGAUGCGAGGGGCUCACGGCAUCAGCCGGCUCCCGGCUUGUCUGGAUGCUCUGAUUAGCAAGACCUACUGGAAUAAGAGACUGGAAGUGAGAGGAAGAAUGACAAAUCAGAUGCUUUCUCUCACUGGAACACCCGAGCCAGACAUUUCUCCAGCGGCGAUGUUGUUUGGGCCACGGCUGCUACCUGCUCGCCUCUUCUGAAAAGAAAUAUUUGCAAAUGCGGCUCCUCCUCGCUGUCCGAGUUGUUCAUGAAGGCGAUCAUGGCCGCUGCCCAAGGGGGCGCUCAGGAGGGCACAGCCAGCACUGCCCGAGCCUGUGGGGACAAGCACAGCACAGGGGGAGAGAACAGUGAACACCACACU